AGCUUGUUGGUGAGGUAACGGCUCACCAAGGCUUACGGGUAGUUGGUCUGAGAGGAUGAUCAGCAACACUGGGACUGAGACACUGCCCAGACUCCUACGGGAGGCUGCAGCCGAGAAUCAUUGUCAAUGCACGAAAGUGUGAACAUGCGACGCCGCGUGGAGGAAGACGGCCUUUGGGUUGUAAACUCCUGUCAGCAGGGAGUAAGGAUAGUCUAUUUAAUACAUAUUCUAUUUGAUAGUACCUGCAGAGGAAGUCACGGCUAACUCUGUGCCAGCAGCCGCGGUAAUACAGAGGUGGCGAACGUUGUUCGGAUUUACUGUGCGUAAAGGGUCCGCAGGCGGCUUGGUGUGUCAGAUGUGAAAGCCCACGGCUUAACCGUGGAAUUGCAUUUGAAACUGCCAGGCUAGAGUACUGGAGGGGAGAAGGGAACACUUGGUGUAGCGGUGAAAUGCGUAGAUAUCAAGUGGAACACCGGUGGCGAAGGCGCUUCUCUGGACAGAUACUGACGCUCAUGGACGAAAGUUAGGGUAGCGAAAGGGAUUAGAUACCCCUGUAGUCCUAACCGUAAACGGUGAGCGCUAGGCGUGGGUGGCUUUACCCCCAUCCGUGCCUGAGCUAACGCAUUAAGCGCACCGCCUGGGGAGUACGGUCGCAAGAUUAAAACUCAAAGGAAUUGACGGGGACCCGCACAAGCGGUGGAGCAUGUGGCUUAAUUCGAUGCAACGCGAAGAACCUUACCUGGGCUUGACAUAUAGCUGCAUCCGACCCGAAAGGGACGGAGCCUUCGAGGGUGCUAUACAGGUGCUGCAUGGCUGUCGUCAGCUCGUGCCGUGAGGUGUUGGGUUAAGUCCCGCGACGAGCGCAACCCCUGUGUUUAGUUGCCAGCACGUAAUGGUGGGAACUCUAAACAGACUGCCUGUGAAAACAGGAGGAAGGGGAUGACGUCAAGUCAGUAUGGUCCUUAUGUCCAGGGCUGCACACGUGCUACGAUGGGAUGUACAAUGGGAGGCUAAGCCGCGAGGUGGAGCAAAUCCUCAAAACAUCCCCCAGUUCGGAUUGUAGUCUGAAACUCGACUACAUGAAGUUGGAAUCGCUAGUAAAGGUAUAUCAUCUACGAUACCUUGAAUACGUUCCCGGGUCUUGUACACACCGCCCGUCACAUCAUGGAAGUGAGUUGCACCCGAAGUUGUUGAUCCAACCCGUCAAGGGAGGAAGGCACUUAAGGUGUGAUUCAUAACUGGGAUGAAGUCGUAACAAGGUA
This 1262-nucleotide ribosomal RNA is filed under the name metagenome. RNAcentral describes it as "bacterial SSU rRNA". It matches the Rfam family "Bacterial small subunit ribosomal RNA", at positions 243 to 1498 of the family's 1533-position model. The record is from RNAcentral.